RNAcentral lists this ribosomal RNA (200 nucleotides) under uncultured bacterium. RNAcentral describes it as "partial 16S ribosomal RNA". It matches the Rfam family "Bacterial small subunit ribosomal RNA", at positions 28 to 240 of the family's 1533-position model. The record is from RNAcentral.
GAUGAACGCUAGCGGCAGGCUUAAUACAUGCAAGGCGAAGGGGCAGCAAUGUCACUGUCGUACGGGUGCGUAACGCGUAUGCAACCUACCUAUCACUGGGGGAUAGCCUGGGGAAACCCGGAUUAAUACCGCAUAAAACAGGGGCACCGCAUGGUGAUAUUUGUUAAAGAUUUAUUGGUGAUAGAUGGGCAUGCGUUCGA